GAAGUGAAUAAAAUAGCUUUGGUGAAGCGAACCCGGGGAACUGAAACAUCUCAGUACCCGGAGGAAAGGACAUCAACGAGACUCCGUUAGUAGUGGCGAGCGAACGCGGACCAGGCCAGUGCCGACAAGUGAAUUAGCAGAACGAUUUGGAAAGAUCGGCCAUAGCGGGUGACAGCCCCGUAUGCGAAAGUGAAAUUGUCGGACUUGAGUAGGGCGGGACACGUGUAAUCCUGUCUGAACAUAGGGGGACCACCCUCUAAGCCUAAAUACUCGUAUGCGACCGAUAGCGAACUAGUACCGUGAGGGAAAGGUGAAAAGCACCCCGAUGAGGGGAGUGAAACAGUACCUGAAACGGAUUGCCUACAAGCAGUUGGAGGGUCCUUGAGGCCUGACAGCGUACCUCUUGCAUAAUGGGUCUGUGACUUAAUGUAUCAAGCAAGCUUAAGCCGUUAGGUGUAGGCGCAGCGAAAGCGAGUCUGAAUAGGGCGCCAGAGUUUGAUGUAUUAGACCCGAAACCCGGCGAUCUAGGCAUGACCAGGAUGAAGGUGCGGUAACACGCACUGGAGGUCCGAACCGAUUAACGUUGAAAAGUUACCGGAUGAGUUGUGUUUAGGGGUGAAAGGCCAAUCAAGCCGGGAAAUAGCUGGUUCUCCGCGAAAACUAUUGAGGUAGUGCCUCGAGCGAAUACCGUAGGGGGUAGAGCACUGGAUGGAUGCGGGGGUCGCGAGACCUACCAACUCUAACCAAACUCCGAAUACCCAAGAGUACUAUCCGGCAGACAGACGGUGGGUGCUAACGUCCAUCGUCAAAAGGGAAACAACCCUGACCGCCAGCUAAGGCCCCCAAAUCAUGGCUAAGUGUGAAAGGAUGUGGGGAUCCCAAAACAA
This 887-nucleotide ribosomal RNA is filed under the name Gloeochaete wittrockiana. RNAcentral describes it as "partial Bacterial large subunit ribosomal RNA". It matches the Rfam family "Bacterial large subunit ribosomal RNA", at positions 155 to 1092 of the family's 2925-position model. Lineage: Eukaryota; Glaucocystophyceae; Gloeochaetales; Gloeochaetaceae. The record is from RNAcentral.